This 764-nucleotide ribosomal RNA is filed under the name Pristimantis aureolineatus. RNAcentral describes it as "partial large subunit ribosomal RNA". It matches the Rfam family "Bacterial large subunit ribosomal RNA", at positions 1547 to 2543 of the family's 2925-position model. Lineage: Eukaryota; Metazoa; Chordata; Amphibia; Anura; Strabomantidae. The record is from RNAcentral.
GACCCCUCUCACAGUAUUGAGGCCCUCUAUAACAUAUAGAGUUUUUUAUGCUAAAACUAGUAACAAGAGAUCCUCUCUCUUUAAUGCAAACAUAACCCAGCAAGAACCUAUCACUGGCAUCUACAGGAAUAAGCACUAGUAGCAACCCCACAAGAAAACCCUACUUUUCUUUCCGUUAACCUAACACCAGAGCAUUUCAAGAAAGAUUAAAAGAAGGGGAAGGAACUCAGCAAACACCAGCCCCGCCUGUUUACCAAAAACACCGCCUCUUGACCCCAUAAGAGGUCCAGCCUGCCCAGUGACUCUGUUCAACGGCCGCGGUAUCCUAACCGUGCUAAGGUAGCGUAAUCACUUGUCUUCUAAAUGAAGACUAGUAUGAAAGGCAUCACGAGGGCCAAGCUGUCUCCCCCCUCUAAUCAGUGAACCUAAUCCCCCCGUGAAGAAGCGGGGAUUUACAUAUAAGACGAGAAGACCCUAUGGAGCUUAAAACGAUAUAACACCUGCUCAGGCCCCCCCCAUUCAGAUUUUUCACCUCAGCACGCUAAUUAUAGGUUUUUGGUUGGGGUGACCGCGGAAAAAAACUAAUCCUCCACAAUGAAAGGAACCUUCCCCAACAAUAAGCUACAACUUUACAUUUCAAUAAAUUGACAUCCAUUGACCCAAUAUUUGAUCAACGAACCAAGUUACCCUAGGGAUAACAGCGCAAUCCACUUCAAGAGCCCCUAUCGACAAGUGGGCUUACGACCUCGAUGUUGGAUCGGGGG